This 498-nucleotide ribosomal RNA is filed under the name uncultured bacterium. RNAcentral's name for it is "partial 16S ribosomal RNA". It matches the Rfam family "Bacterial small subunit ribosomal RNA", at positions 30 to 523 of the family's 1533-position model. The record is from RNAcentral.
AUUGAACGCUGGCGGCAUGCCUUACACAUGCAAGUCGAACGGUAACAGGUCUUCGGAUGCUGACGAGUGGCGAACGGGUGAGUAAUACAUCGGAACGUGCCUAGUAGUGGGGGAUAACUACUCGAAAGAGUGGCUAAUACCGCAUGAGAUCUACGGAUGAAAGCAGGGGAUCGCAAGACCUUGUGCUACUAGAGCGGCCGAUGGCAGAUUAGGGAGUUGGUGGGAUAAAAGCUUACCAAGCCGACGAUCUGUAGCUGGUCUGAGAGGACGAUCAGCCACACUGGGACUGAGACACGGCCCAGACUCCUACGGGAGGCAGCAGUGGGGAAUUUUGGACAAUGGGCGAAAGCCUGAGCCAGCAAUGCCGCGUGCAGGAUGAAGGCCUUCGGGUUGUAAACUGCUUUUGUACGGAACGAAAAGCCCCGGGUUAAUACCCUGGGGUCAUGACGGUACCGUAAGAAUAAGCACCGGCUAACUACGUGCCAGCAGCCGCAGUAA